Molecule: long non-coding RNA, 27187 nt
Filed under: Xyrichtys novacula (pearly razorfish)
Lineage: Eukaryota; Metazoa; Chordata; Actinopteri; Labriformes; Labridae
Source: RNAcentral
CGCUCUUUUCGGGAGUAAAAAUUCCUUUACAAAUGUGUGGAUGGCUGGACAUUGCAUCAUCCUAGAGAACUUGGAGGCCAGUGAGGACAAAAAUAAAAAGUUAUAAGACUUUUAAGACUGUGGAUUUUUGGGUUAUCUUUGGCGCCCCCUAGAACGUAAACCGUGGGGUGCAGCGUCAUGAUUUGUACAACUUUUAAUGGCCAUGGGGUGUAGAUUGGCCUGAGCAAAUGUGGUGCCGGUGGAACGAAUGCCUUCGGAGGAGUUAGCGAAAUUUCAAUGUGUGCAGAUCGGCAAAAAAUGCAAAAUAACCCUCUAACCGUACAUUUCACAGAUGCGCCCGCGCUGACUUUUUCGUAGACCGUAUUGAGAUACACGUGUGUGUCAAUUUUUGUGUCAAUAUGACAAAGCGUACAGGCGUGACAGUCAAUAGUGUGAAUUUUCGCCUUAGGGGGCGCUAUGGAGCCAUUUUGCAUUUUAUUGUUUGGGCGACUUCAGAAUAUCGAAUUUUUCACCAGGCCCGGUCGUCCUGCCAAAUUUCAUGAGUUUUCGCCAGUGGGAAGUGGGCCAUUUUCCCCUUCAAAGGGGAGGAAAAAUAAGAAGAAAGAAAGAAAGAAAGAAAGAAGAAAGAAAAACCUAUACAGGAAUAAUAGGGCUCUACGCCCGGCUGCUCUGCAGCUGGCUCGGGCCCUAAAGAAAGAAAGAAAGAAAGAAAGAAACAAAGAAAAACCACUUGGGGAAUAAUAGGGCUCUCGCAGCUGCUUAGCAGCUACGCUCGGGCCCUAAAUAUAUUUGGGGUCUUCGGGCUUCCUGAAGGAAAUACCCGGGUAUGAGGUUAUGGGGCUAGGGUAAGGUUUAAGGUUUUUGGCGUCAGGGUUAAAAUCACUGUCCAAAACCUUUUUAGGAACAUGUUUCAGACCUUUUGGAGUUGGUAACACCAAAAAAAAAUGUAAAAUGAAAAAAAAAAUAUUUGGGGUGUUCAAGCUUCCUGAAGGUAAUACCCAGGUAUUAGGUUUUGGGGCUAGGGUAAGGUUUAAGGUUUUUGGUGUUAGGGUUAAAAUCACCGUCCAAAACCUUUGUAGGAACUCUUUUCCAACCUUUUGGAGUUAGUUAGACAAAAAAAAAAAGAUAAAUGAAAAAAAAAUAUUUGGGGUGUUCGGGCUUCCUGAAGGUAAUACCCGGGUAUUAGGUUAUGGAUCUAGGGUAAGGUUUAAGGUUAUGGGGCUAGGGUUAAAAUCACUGUCCAAAACCUUUGUAGGAACUCUUUUCCAACCUUUGAGAGCAAGUUCGACCAAAAAAAAAGAUAAAUAAAAAAUAUAUAUUUGGGGUGUUCGGGCUUCCUGAAGGUAUUAGGUUAUGGGGCUAGGUUAAGGUUUUAAGGUUUUUUGGAGUUGGUUACACCAAAAAAAAAUAUAAAAUGAAAAAAAAUAUAUAUUUGGGGUGUUCGGGCUUCCUGAAGGUAAUACCCGGGUAUUAGGUUUAGGGGCUAGGGUAAGGUUUAAGGUUUUUGGUGUUAGGGUUAGUUCACUGUCCAAAUCCUUUGUAGGAACUCUUUUCCAACCUAUUGGAGUUAGUUAGACCAAAAAAAAAAGAAAAAAGAAAAAAUAUAUUUGGGGUGUUCGGGUUUCCUGAAGGUAAUACCCGGGUAUUAGGUUAUGGGGCGAGGGUAAGGUUUAAGGUUUUUGGUGUUAGGGUUAAAAUCACUGUCCAAAACCUUUUUAGGAACAUGUUUCAGACCUUUUGGAGUUGGUAACACCAAAAAAAAAUGUAAAAUGAAAAAAAAAUAUUUGGGGUGUUCAAGCUUCCUAAAGGUAAUACCCGGGUAUUAGGUUUUGGGGCUAGGGUAAGGUUUAAGGUUUUUGGUGUUAGGGUUUAAAUCACUGUCCAAAACCUUUGUAGGAACUAUUUUCCAACCUUUUGGAGUUAGUUAGACCAAAGAAAAAUGUAAAAUUAAAAAAACUUUUUUUGGGUGUUCGGGCUUCCUGAAGGUAAUACUAAGUUUUUGGGCUAGGGUAAUGUUUAAGGUUUUUGGUGUUAGGGUUAAAAUCAAUGUCCAAAACCUUUGUAGGAACUCUUUUCCAACCUUUGAGAGCAAGUUAGACCAAAACAAAAAGAAAAAUAAAAAAUAUAUAUUUGGGGUGUUCGGGCUUCCUGAAGGUAAUACCCGGGUAUUAGGUUAUGGGGCUAGGGUAAGGUUUAAGGUUUUUCGGCGUGAGGGUAAAAAUCACUGUCCAAAACCUUUGUAGGAACUAUUUUCCAACCUUUGGGAAUAAGUUAGACAAAAAAAAAUAAGAUAAAUGAAAAAAAAAUAUUUGGGGUGUUCGGGCUUCCUGAAGGUAAUACCCGGGUAUUAGGUUUUGGGGCUAGGGUAAGGUUUAAGGUUUUUGGUGUUAGGGUUAAAAUCACUGUCCAAAACCUUUUUAGGAACAUGUUUCAGACCUUUUGGAGUAGGUUACACCAAAAAAAAAUGUAAAAUGAAAAAAAAAUAUUUGGGGUGUUCAAGCUUCCUGAAGGUAAUACCCGGGUAUUAGGUUUUGGGGCUAGGGUUAGGUUUAAGGUUUUUGGCAUUAGGGUUAAAAUAACUGUCCAAUAUUUUUUAAGGAACAUGUCUCAGACCUUUGGGAGUUAGUUAGACAAAAAAUAAAAGAAAAAGAAAAAAAUAUAUAUUUGGGGUGUUCGGGUUUCCUGAAGGUAAUACCCGGGUAUUAGGUUUUGGGGCUAGGGUAAGGUUUAAGGUUUUUGGUGUUAGAGUUAAAAUCAGUGUCCAAAACCUUUUUAGGAACAUGUUUAAGACCUUUUAGAGUUGGUUACACCAAAAAAAAAUGUAAAAUGAAAAAAAAAUAUUUGGGGUGUUCGGGCUUACUGAAGGUAAUACCCAGGUAUUAGGUUUUGGGGCUAGGGUAAGGUUUAAGGUUUUUGGUGUUAGGGUUAAAAUCACUGUCCAAAACCUUUGUAGGAACUCUUUUCCAACCUUUUGGAGUUAGUUAGACCAAAAAAAAAGAAAAAAUGAAAAAAAUAUAUUUGGGGUCUUCGGGCUUCCUGAAGGAAAUACCCAGGUAUUAGGUUAUGGGGCUAGGGUAAGGUUUAAGGUUUUUGGCGUUAGGGUUAAAAUCACUGUCCAAAACCUUUUUAGGAACAUGUUUCAGACCUUUUGGAGUUGGUUACACCAAAAAAAAUGUAAAAUGAAAAGAAAAUAUUUGGGGUGUUCAAGCUUCCUGAAGGUAAUACCCGGGUAUUAGUUCAUGGGGCUAUAGUAAGGUUUAAGGUUUUUGGCGUUAGGGUUAAAAUCACUGUCCAAAACCUUUGUAGGAACUAUUUUCCAACCUUUUGGAGUUAGUUAGACCAAAAAAAAAACGAAAAAUGAAAAAAAAAUAUUUGGGGUUUUCGGGCUUACUGAAGGUAAUACCCGGGUAUUAGGUUUUGGGGCUAGGGUUAGGUUUAAGGUUUUUGGCGUUAGGGUUAAAAUAACUGUCCAAAACCUUUGUAGGAACUCUUUUCCAACCUUUGAGAGCAAGUUAGACCAAAAAAAAAAAGAUAAAUGAAAAAAAGAAUAUUUGGGGUGUUCGGGCUUCCUGAAGGAAAUACCCGGGUAUUAGGUUUUUAUGCUAGGGUUAGGUUUAAGGUUUUUGGCGUUAGGGUUAAAAUAACUGUCCAAUAUUUUUUAAGGAACAUGUUUCAGACCUUUGGGAGUUAGUUAGACAAAAAACAAAGAAAAAGAAAAAAAAAAUAUUUGGGGUGUUCGGGUUUCCUGAAGGUAAUACCCGGGUAUUAGGUUAUGGGGCGAGGGUAAGGUUUAAGGUUUUUGGCGUUAGGGUUAAAAUCACUGUCCAAAACCUUUUUAGGAACAUGUUUCAGACCUUUUGGAGUUGGUAACACCAAAAAAAAAUGUAAAAUGAAAAAAAAAUAUUUGGGGUGUUCAAGCUUCCUAAAGGUAAUACCCGGGUAUUAGGUUUUGGGGCUAGGGUAAGGUUUAAGGUUUUUGGCGCAAGGGUUAAAAUCACUGUCCAAAACCUUUUUAGGAACAUGUUUCAGACCUUUUGGAGUUGGUUACACCAAAAAAAAUGUAAAAUGAAAAAAAAAUUUUUUUGGGUGUUCGGGCUUCCUGAAGGUAAUACUUUGUAUUACCUUUGUAGGAAGUCUUUUCCAACCUUUUGGAGUUAGUCUUUUGUAGGAAGUCUUUUCCAACCUUUUGGAGUUAGUUAGACAAAAAAAAAAAGAUAAAUGAAAAAAAAAUAUUUGGGGUGUUCGGGCUUCCUGAAGGCAAUACCCGGGUAUUAGGUUUUUGGGCUAGGGUAAGGUUUAAGGUUUUUGGUGUUAGGGUUAAAAUCACUGUCCAAAACCUUUUUAGGAACUCUUUUCCGACCUUUUGGAGUUAGUUAGACCAAAAAAAAAUGUAAAAUGAAAAAGAAUUUUUUUGAGUGUUCGGGCUUCCUGAAGGUAAUACUAGGUUUCUGGGCUAGGGUAAUGUUUUAGGUUUUUGGCGUAAGGGUUAAAAUCACUGUCCAAAACCUUUUUAGGAACUAUUUUCCAACCUUUUGGAGUUAGUUAGACCAAAAAAAAACGAAAAAUGAAAAAAAAUAUUUGGGGUGUUCGGGCUUCCUGAAGGUAAUACUAGGUUUCUGGGCUAGGGUAAUGUUUUAGGUUUUUGGCGUUAGGGUUAAAAUCAAUGUCCAAAACCUUUGUAGGAACUCUUUUCCAACCUUUGAGAGCAAGUUAGACCAAAACAAAAAGAAAAAUGAAAAAAAAAUAUUUGGGGUGUUCAAGCUUCCUAAAGGUAAUACCCGGGUAUUAGGUUUUGGGGCUAGGGUAAGGUUUAAGGUUUUUGGUGUUAGGGUUUAAAUCACUGUCCAAAACCUUUGUAGGAAGUCUUUUCCAACCUUUUGGAGUUAGUUAGACAAAAAAAAAACAAAUGAAAAAAAAAUGUUUAGGGUGUUCGGGCUUCCUGAAGGUAAUACCCGGGUAUUAGGUUAUGGGGCUAGGGUAAGGUUUAAGGUUUUUGGCGUAAGGGUUAAAAUCACUGUCCAAAACCUUUUUAGGAACAUGUUCAGACCUUUAGGAGUUGGUUACACCAAAAAAAAUGUAAAAUGAAAAAAAAUUUUUUGGGGGUGUUCGGGCUUCCUGAAGGUAAUACUUUGUAUUACCUUUGUAGGAAGUCUUUUCCAACCUUUUGGAGUUAGUCUUUUGUAGGAAGUCUUUUCCAACCUUUUGGAGUUAGUUAGACAAAAAAAAAAAGAUAAAUGAAAAAAAAAUAUUUGGGGUGUUCGGGCUUCCUGAAGGUAAUACCCGAGUAUUAGGUUAUGGGGCUAGGGUAAGGUUUAAGGUUUUUGGCGUAAGGGUUAAAAUCACUGUCCAAAACCUUUUUAGGAACAUGUUUCAGACCUUUUGGAGUAGGUUACACCAAAAAAAAAUGUAAAAUGAAAAAAAAAUAUUUGGGGUGUUCGGGCUUCCUGAAGGUAAUACCCGGGUAUUAGGUUUUUGGGCUAGGGUAAGGUUUAAGGUUUUUGGUGUUAGGGUUAAAAUCACUGUCCAAAACCUUUGUAGGAACUCUUUUCCGACCUUUUGGAGUUAGUUAGACCAAAAAAAAAAUGUAAAAUGAAAAAGAAUUUUUUUGAGUGUUCGGGCUUCCUGAAGGUAAUACUAGGUUUCUGGGCUAGGGUAAUGUUUUAGGUUUUUGGCGUAAGGGUUAAAAUCACUGUCCAAAACCUUUUUAGGAACUAUUUUCCAACCUUUUGGAGUUAGUUAGACCAAAAAAAAACGAAAAAUGAAAAAAAAUAUUUGGGGUGUUCGGGCUUCCUGAAGGUAAUACUAGGUUUCUGGGCUAGGGUAAUGUUUUAGGUUUUUGGCGUAAGGGUUAAAAUCACUGUCCAAAACCUUUUUAGGAACUAUUUUCCAACCUUUUGGAGUUAGUUCGACCAAAAAAAAACGAAAAAUGAAAAAAAAAUAUUUGGGGUGUUCGGGCUUCCUGAAGGUAAUACUAGGUUUCUGGGCUAGGGUAAUGUUUUAGGUUUUUGGCGUUAGGGUUAAAAUCAAUGUCCAAAACCUUUGUAGGAACUCUUUUCCAACCUUUGAGAGCAAGUUAGACCAAAACAAAAAUAAAAAUAAAAAUAUAUAUAUUUGGGGUGUUCGGGCUUCCUGAAGGAAAUACCCGGGUAUUAGGUUAUGGGGCUAGGGUAAGGUUUAAGGUUUUUCGGCGUGAGGGUAAAAAUCACUGUCCAAAACCUUUGUAGGAACUCUUUUCCAACCUUUGGGAAUAAGUUAGACAAAAAAAAUAAGAUAAAAGAAAAAAAUAUAUAUUUGGGGUGUUCGGGUUUCCUGAAGGUAAUACCCGGGUAUUAGGUUAUGGGGCUAGGGUAAGGUUUAAGGUUUUUGGCGUUAGAGUUAAAAUCAGUGUCCAAAACCUUUUUAGGAACAUGUUUAAGACCUUUUAGAGUUGGUUACACCAAAAAAAAAUGUAAAAUGAAAAAAAAUUAUUUGGGGUGUUCGGGCUUCCUGAAGGAAAUACCCAGGUAUUAGGUUAUGGGGCUAGGGUAAGGUUGAAGGUUUUUGGCGUUAGGGUUAAAAUCACUGUCCAAAACCUUUUUAGGAACAUGUUUCAGACUUUUUGGAGUUGGUUACACCAAAAAAAAAUGUAAAAUGAAAAAAACUUUUUUUGGGUGUUCGGGCUUCCUGAAGGUAAUACUAAGUUUUUGGGCUAGGGUAAUGUUUAAGGUUUUUGGUGUUAGGGUUAAAAUCAAUGUCCAAAACCUUUGUAGGAACUCUUUUCCAACCUUUGAGAGCAAGUUAGACCAAAACAAAAAGAAAAAUAAAAAAUAUAUAUUUGGGGUGUUCGGGCUUCCUGAAGGUAAUACCCGGGUAUUAGGUUAUGGGGCUAGGGUAAGGUUUAAGGUUUUUCGGCGUGAGGGUAAAAAUCACUGUCCAAAACCUUUGUAGGAACUCUUUUCCAACCUUUGGGAAUAAGUUAGACAAAAAAAAUAAGAUAAAUGAAAAAAAAAUAUUUGGGGUGUUCGGGCUUCCUGAAGGUAAUACCCGGGUAUUAGGUUUUGGGGCUAGGGUAAGGUUUAAGGUUUUUGGUGUUAGGGUUAAAAUCACUGUCCAAAACCUUUUUAGGAACAUGUUUCAGACCUUUUGGAGUAGGUUACACCAAAAAAAAAAAUGUAAAAUGAAAAAAAAAUAUUUGGGGUGUUCAAGCUUCCUGAAGGUAAUACCCGGGUAUUAGGUUUUGGGGCGAGGGUUAGGUUUAAGGUUUUUGGCAUUAGGGUUAAAAUAACUGUCCAAUAUUUUUUAAGGAACAUGUCUCAGACCUUUGGGAGUUAGACAAAAAAAAAAGAAAAAGAAAAAAAUAUAUAUUUGGGGUGUUCGGGUUUCCUGAAGGUAAUACCCGGGUAUUAGGUUUUGGGGCUAGGGUAAGGUUUAAGGUUUUUGGUGUUAGGGUUAAAAUCACUGUCCAAAACCUUUGUAGGAACUCUUCUCCAACCUUUUGGAGUUAGUUAGACCAAAAAAAAAGAAAAAAUGAAAAAAAUAUAUUUGGGGUCUUCGGGCUUCCUGAAGGAAAUACCCAGGUAUUAGGUUAUGGGGCUAGGGUAAGGUUGAAGGUUUUUGGCGUUAGGGUUAAAAUCACUGUCCAAAACCUUUUUAGGAACAUGUUUCAGACCUUUUGGAGAUGGUUACACCAAAAAAAAUGUAAAAUGAAAAGAAAAUAUUUGGGGUGUUCAAGCUUCCUGAAGGUAAUACCCGGGUAUUAGUUUAUGGGGCUAUAGUAAGGUUUAAGGUUUUUGGCGUUAGGGUUAAAAUCACUGUCCAAAACCUUUGUAGGAACUAUUUUCCAACCUUUUGGAGUUAGUUAGACCAAAAAAAAAACGAAAAAUGAAAAAAAAUAUUUGGGGUUUUCGGGCUUACUGAAGGUAAUACCCGGGUAUUAGGUUUUGGGGCUAGGGUUAGGUUUAAGGUUUUUGGCGUUAGGGUUAAAAUAACUGUCCAAAACCUUUGUAGGAACUCUUUUCCAACCUUUGGGAAUUAGUUAGACAAAAAAAAAAAAGAUAAAUGAAAAAAAGAAUAUUUGGGGUGUUCGGGCUUCCUGAAGGAAAUACCCGGGUAUUAGGUUUUGGGGCUAGGGUUAGGUUUAAGGUUUUUGGCGUUAGGGUUAAAAUAACUGUCCAAUAUUUUUUAAGGAACAUGUUUCAGACCUUUGGGAGUUAGUUAGACAAAAAACAAAGAAAAAGAAAAAAAAAAUAUUUGGGGUGUUCGGGUUUCCUGAAGGUAAUACCCGGGUAUUAGGUUAUGGGGCGAGGGUAAGGUUUAAGGUUUUUGGCGUUAGGGUGAAAAUCACUGUCCAAAACCUUUUUAGGAACAUGUUUCAGACCUUUUGGAGUUGGUAACACCAAAAAAAAAAUGUAAAAUGAAAAAAAAAUAUUUGGGGUGUUCAAGCUUCCUAAAGGUAAUACCCGGGUAUUAGGUUUUGGGGCUAGGGUAAGGUUUAAGGUUUUUGGUGUUAGGGUUUAAAUCACUGUCCAAAACCUUUGAAGGAAGUCUUUUCCAACCUUUUGGAGUCAGUUAGACAAAAAAAAAAACAAAUGAAAAAAAAAUGUUUAGGGUGUUCGGGCUUCCUGAAGGUAAUACCCGGGUAUUAGGUUAUGGGGCUAGGGUAAGGUUUAAGGUUUUUGGCGUAAGGGUUAAAAUCACUGUCCAAAACCUUUUUAGGAACAUGUUUCAGACCUUUAGGAGUUGGUUACACCAAAAAAAAUGUAAAAUAAAAAAAAAAUUUUUUGGGGUGUUCGGGCUUCCUGAAGGUAAUACUUUGUAUUACCUUUGUAGGAAGUCUUUUCCAACCUUUUGGAGUUAGUCUUUUGUAGGAAGUCUUUUCCAACCUUUUGGAGUUAGUUAGACAAAAAAAAAAAAAGAUAAAUGAAAAAAAAGUAUUUGGGUGUUCGGGCUUCCUGAAGGUAAUACCCGGGUAUUAGGUUAUGGGGCUAGGGUAAGGUUUAAGGUUUUUGGCGUAAGGGUUAAAAUCACUGUCCAAAACCUUUUUAGGAACUCUUUUCCAACCUUUGAGAGCAAGUUAGACCAAAACAAAAAGAAAAAUAAAAAAUAUAUAUUUGGGGUGUUCGGGCUUCCUGAAGGUAAUACCCGGGUAUUAGGUUAUGGGGCUAGGGUAAGGUUUAAGGUUUUUCGGCGUGAGGGUAAAAAUCACUGUCCAAAACCUUUGUAGGAACUCUUUUCCAACCUUUGGGAAUAAGUUAGACAAAAAAAAUAAGAUAAAUGAAAAAAAAAUAUUUGGGGUGUUCGGGCUUCCUGAAGGUAAUACCCGGGUAUUAGGUUUUGGGGCUAGGGUAAGGUUUAAGGUUUUUGGUGUUAGGGUUAAAAUCACUGUCCAAAACCUUUUUAGGAACAUGUUUCAGACCUUUUGGAGUAGGUUACACCAAAAAAAAAAAUGUAAAAUGAAAAAAAAAUAUUUGGGGUGUUCAAGCUUCCUGAAGGUAAUACCCGGGUAUUAGGUUUUGGGGCGAGGGUUAGGUUUAAGGUUUUUGGCAUUAGGGUUAAAAUAACUGUCCAAUAUUUUUUAAGGAACAAGUCUCAGACCUUUGGGAGUUAGACAAAAAAAAAAGAAAAAGAAAAAAAUAUAUAUUUGGGGUGUUCGGGUUUCCUGAAGGUAAUACCCGGGUAUUAGGUUUUGGGGCUAGGGUAAGGUUUAAGGUUUUUGGCAUUAGGGUUAAAAUAACUGUCCAAAACCUUUUUAGGAACAUGUUUAAGACCCUUUAGAGUUGGUUACACCAAAAAAAAAUGUAAAAUGAAAAAAAAAUAUUUGGGGUGUUCGGGUUUCCUGAAGGUAAUACCCGGGUAUUAGGUUUUGGGGCUAGGGUAAGGUUUAAGGUUUUUGGUGUUAGGGUUAAAAUCACUGUCCAAAACCUUUGUAGGAACUCUUUUCCAACCUUUUGGAGUUAGUUAGACCAAAAAAAAAGAAAAAAAUGAAAAAAAUAUAUUUGGGGUCUUCGGGCUUCCUGAAGGAAAUACCCAGGUAUUAGGUUAUGGGGCUAGGGUAAGGUUUAAGGUUUUUGGCGUUAGGGUUAAAAUCACUGUCCAAAACCUUUUUAGGAACAUGUUUCAGACCUUUUGGAGAUGGUUACACCAAAAAAAAUGUGAAAUGAAAAGAAAAUAUUUGGGGUGUUCAAGCUUCCUGAAGGUAAUACCCGGGUAUUAGUUUAUGGGGCUAUAGUAAGGUUUAAGGUUUUUGGCGUUAGGGUUAAAAUCACUGUCCAAAACCUUUGUAGGAACUAUUUUCCAACCUUUUGGAGUUAGGUAGACCAAAAAAAAAACGAAAAAUGAAAAAAAAUAUUUGGGGUUUUCGGGCUUACUGAAGGUAAUACCCGGGUAUUAGGUUUUGGGGCUAGGGUUAGGUUUAAGGUUUUUGGCGUUAGGGUUAAAAUAACUGUCCAAAACCUUUGUAGGAACUCUUUUCCAACCUUUGGGAAUUAGUUAGACAAAAAAAAAAAGAUAAAUGAAAAAAAGAAUAUUUGGGGUGUUCGGGCUUCCUGAAGGAAAUACCCGGGUAUUAGGUUUUGGGGCUAGGGUUAGGUUUAAGGUUUUUGGCGUUAGGGUUAAAAUAACUGUCCAAUAUUUUUUAUGGAACAUGUUUCAGACCUUUGGGAGUUAGUUAGACAAAAAACAAAGAAAAAGAAAAAAAAAUAUUUGGGGUGUUCGGGUUUCCUGAAGGUAAUACCCGGGUAUUAGGUUAUGGGGCGAGGGUAAGGUUUAAGGUUUUUGGCGUUAGGGUGAAAAUCACUGUCCAAAACCUUUUUAGGAACAUGUUUCAGACCUUUUGGAGUUGGUAACACCAAAAAAAAAAUGAAAAAUGAAAAAAAAAUAUUUGGGGUGUUCAAGCUUCCUAAAGGUAAUACCCAGGUAUUAGGUUUUGGGGCUAGGGUAAGGUUUAAGGUUUUUGGUGUUAGGGUUAAAAUCACUGUCCAAAACCUUUGUAGGAACUCUUUUCCAACCUUUUGGAGUUAGUUAGACCAAAAAAAAAGAAAAAAUGAAAAAAAUAUAUUUGGGGUCUUCGGGCUUCCUGAAGGAAAUACCCAGGUAUUAGGUUAUGGGGCUAGGGUAAGGUUUAAGGUUUUUGGCGUUAGGGUUAAAAUCACUGUCCAAAACCUUUGUAGGAACUCUUUUCCAACCUUUGGGAAUAAGUUAGACAAAAAAGUAAGAUAAAUGAAAAAAAUAUAUUUGGGGUGUUCGGGCUUCCUGAAGGUAAUACCCGGGUAUUAGGUUUUGGGGCUAGGGUAAGGUUUAAGGUUUUUGGUGUUAGGGUUAAAAUCACUGUCCAAAACCUUUUUAGGAACAUGUUUCAGACCUUUUGGAGUAGGUUACACCAAAAAAAAAUGUAAAAUGAAAAAAAAAUAUUUGGGGUGUUCAAGUUUCCUGAAGGUAAUACCCGGGUAUUAGGUUUUGGGGCUAGGGUUAGGUUUAAGGUUUUUGGCAUUAGGGUUAAAAUAACUGUCCAAUAUUUUUUAAGGAACAUGUCUCAGACCUUUGGGAGUUAGUUAGACAAAAAAAAAAAGAAAAAGAAAAAAAUAUAUAUUUGGGGUGUUCGGGUUUCCUGAAGGUAAUACCCGGGUAUUAGGUUUUGGGGCUAGGGUAAGGUUUAAGGUUUUUGGUGUUAGAGUUAAAAUCAGUGUCCAAAACCUUUUUAGGAACAUGUUUAAGACCUUUUAGAGUUGGUUACACCAAAAAAAAUGUAAAAUGAAAAAAAAAUAUUUGGGGUGUUCGGGCAUCCUGAAGGUAAUACCCGGGUAUUAGGUUUUGGGGCUAGGGUAAGGUUUAAGGUUUUUGGUGUUAGGGUUAAAAUAACUGUCCAAAACCUUUGUAGGAACUCUUUUCCAACCUUUUGGAGUUAGUUAUACCAAAAAAAAAGAAAAAAUGAAAAAAAUAUAUUUGGGGUCUUCGGGCUUCCUGAAGGAAAUACCCAGGUAUUAGGUUAUGGGGCUAGGGUAAGGUUUAAGGUUUUUGGCGUUAGGGUUAAAAUCACUGUCCAAAACCUUUUUAGGAAUAUGUUUCAGACCUUUUGGAGUUGGUAACACCAAAAAAAAAUGUAAAACGAAAAAAAAAUAGUUGGGGUGUUCAAGCUUCCUAAAGGUAAUACCCGGGUAUUAGGUUUUGGGGCUAGGGUAAGGUUUACGGUUUUUGGUGUUAGGGUUUAAAUCACUGUCCAAAACCUUUUUAGGAACAUGUUUCAGACCUUUAGGAGUUGGUUACACCAAAAAAAAUGUAAAAUGAAAAAAAAUUUUUUGGGGGUGUUCGGGCUUCCUGAAGGUAAUACUUUGUAUUACCUUUGUAGGAAGUCUUUUCCAACCUUUUGGAGUUAGUCUUUUGUAGGAAGUCUUUUCCAACCUUUUGGAGUUAUACAAAAAAAAAAGAUAAAUGAAAAAAAAGUAUUUGGGGUGUUCGGGCUUCCUGAAGGUAAUACCCGGGUAUUAGGUUAUGGGGCUAGGGUAAGGUUUAAGGUUUUUGGCGUAAGGGUUAAAAUCACUGUCCAAAACCUUUUUAGGAACAUGUUUCAGACCUUUUGGAGUUGGUUACACCAAAAAAAAUGUAAAAUGAAAAAAAAUUUUUUUUGGGUGUUCGGGCUUCCUGAAGGUAAUACUAGGUUUCUGGGCUAGGGUAAUGUUUUAGGUUUUUGGCGUUAGGGUUAAAAUCAAUGACCAAAACCUUUGUAGGAACUCUUUUCCAACCUUUGAGAGCAAGUUAGACCAAAACAAAAAGAAAAAUAAAAAAUAUAUAUUUGGGGUGUUCUGGCUUCCUGAAGGUAAUACCCGGGUAUUAGGUUAUGGGGCUAGGGUAAGGUUUAAGGUUUUUCGGCGUGAGGGUAAAAAUCACUGUCCAAAACCUUUGUAGGAACUCUUUUCCAACCUUUGGGAAUAAGUUAGACAAAAAAAAUAAGAUAAAUGAAAAAAAAAUAUUUGGGGUGUUCGGGCUUCCUGAAGGUAAUACCCGGGUAUUAUGUUUUGGGGCUAGGGUUAGGUUUCAGGUUUUUGGCAUUAGGGUUAAAAUAACUGUCCAAUAUUUUUUAAGGAACAUGUUUCAGACCUUUGGGAGUUAGUUAGACAAAAAAAAAAAAAAAGAAAAAAAUAUAUAUUUGGGGUGUUCGGGUUUCCUGAAGGUAAUACCCGGGUAUUAGGUUUUGGGGCUAGGGUAAGGUUUAAGGUUUUUGGUGUUAGGGUUAAAAUCACUGUCCAAAACCUUUGUAGGAACUCUUUUCCAACCUUUUGGAGUUAGUUAGACCAAAAAAAAGAAAAAAGAAAAAAAUAUAUUUGGGGUCUUCGGGCUUCCUGAAGGAAAUACCCAGGUAUUAGGUUAUGGGGCUAGGGUAAGGUUUAAGGUUUUUGGUGUUAGGGUUAAAAUCACUGUCCAAAACCUUUUUAGGAACAUGUUUCAGACCUUUUGGAGUAGGUUACACCAAAAAAAAAUGUAAACUGAAAAAAAAAUAUUUCGGGUGUUCAAGCUUCCUGAAGGUAAUACCCGGGUAUUAGGUUAUGGGGCUAUAGUAAGGUUUAAGGUUUUUGGCGUGAGGGUUAAAAUCACUGUCCAAAACCUUUGUAGGAACUAUUUUCCAACCUUUUGGAGUUAGUUAGACCAAAAAAGAAACGAAAAAUGAAAACAAAUAUUUGGGGUUUUCGGGCUUACUGAAGGUAAUACUAGGUUUCUGGGCUAGGGUAAUGUUUUAGGUUUUUGGCGUUAGGGUUAAAAUCAAUGUCCAAAACCUUUGUAGGAACUCUUUUCCAACCUUUGAGAGCAAGUUAGACCAAAACAAAAAGAAAAAGAAAAAAUAUAUAUUUGGGGUGUUCGGGCUUCCUGAAGGUAAUAGGUUAUGGGGCUAGGGUAAGGUUUAAGGUUUUUCGGCGUUAGGGUAAAAAUCACUGUCCAAAACCUUUGUAGGAACUCUUUUCCAACCUUUGGGAAUAAGUUAGACAAAAAAAAUAAGAUAAAUGAAAAAAAAAUAUUUGGGGUGUUCGGGCUUCCUGAAGGUAAUACCCGGGUAUUAUGUUUUGGGGCUAGGGUUAGGUUUAAGGUUUUUGGCAUUAGGGUUAAAAUAACUGUCCAAUAUUUUUUAAGGAACAUGUUUCAGACCUUUGGGAGUUAGUUAGACAAAAAAAAAGAAAAAGAAAAAAAUAUAUAUUUGGGGUGUUCGGGUUUCCUGAAGGUAAUACCCGGGUAUUAGGUUAUGGGGCUAGGGUAAGGUUUAAGGUUUUUGGCGUUAGAGUUAAAAUCAGUGUCCAAAACCUUUUUAGGAACAUGUUUAAGACCUUUUAGAGUGGGUUACACCAAAAAAAAUGUAAAAUGAAAAAAAAAUAUUUGGGGUGUUCGGGCUUCCUGAAGGUAAUACCCGGGUAUUAGGUUUUGGGGCUAGGGUAAGGUUUAAGGUUUUUGGUGUUAGGGUUAAAAUCACUGUCCAAAACCUUUGUAGGAACUCUUUUCCAACCUUUUGGAGUUAGUUAGACAAAAAAAAAAAAAAUGAAAAAAAUAUAUUUGGGGUCUUCGGGCUUCCUGAAGGAAAUACCCAGGUAUUAGGUUAUGGGGCUAGGGUAAGGUUUAAGGUUUUUGGCGUUAGGGUUAAAAUCACUGUCCAAAACCUUUUUAGGAACAUGUUUCAGACUUUUUGGAGUUGGUUACACCAAAAAAAAAUGUAAAAUGAAAAGAAAAUAUUUGGGGUGUUCAAGCUUCCUGAAGGUAAUACCCGGGUAUUAGGUUAUGGGGCUAUAGUAAGGUUUAAGGUUUUUGGCGUGAGGGUUAAAAUCACUGUCCAAAACCUUUGUAGGAACUAUUUUCCAACCUUUUGGAGUUAGUUAGACCAAAAAAAAAACGAAAAAUGAAAAAAAAUAUUUGGGGUUUUCGGGCUUACUGAAGGUAAUACCCGGGUAUUAGGUUUUGGGGCUAGGGUUAGGUUUAAGGUUUUUGGCAUUAGGGUUAAAAUAACUGUCCAAUAUUUUUUAAGGAACAUGUCUCAGACCUUUGGGAGUUAGUUAGACAAAAAAAAAAAGAAAAAGAAAAAAUAUAUAUUUGGGGUGUUCGGGUUUCCUGAAGGUAAUACCCGGGUAUUAGGUUUUGGGGCUAGGGUAAGGUUUAAGGUUUUUGGUGUUAGAGUUAAAAUCAGUGUCCAAAACCUUUUUAGGAACAUGUUUAAGACCUUUUAGAGUUGGUUACACCAAAAAAAAAUGUAAAAAGAAAAAAAAAAUUUGGGGUGUUCGGGCUUCCUGAAGGUAAUACCCGGGUAUUAGGUUUUGGGGCUAGGGUAAGGUUUAAGGUUUUUGGUGUUAGAGUUAAAAUCAGUGUCCAAAACCUUUUUAGGAACAUGUUUAAGACCUUUUAGAGUUGGUUACACCAAAAAAAAAUGUAAAAUGAAAAAAAAAUAUUUGGGGUGUUCGGGCAUCCUGAAGGUAAUACCCGGGUAUUAGGUUUUGGGGCUAGGGUAAGGUUUAAGGUUUUUGGUGUUAGGGUUAAAAUCACUGUCCAAAACCUUUGUAGGAACUCUUUUCCAACCUUUUGGAGUUAGUUAGACCAAAAAAAAAGAAAAAAUGAAAAAAAUAUAUUUGGGGUCUUCGGGCUUCCUGAAGGAAAUACCCAGGUAUUAGGUUAUGGGGCUAGGGCAAGGUUUAAGGUUUUUGGCGUUAGGGUUAAAAUCACUGUCCAAAACCUUUUUAGGAACAUGUUUCAGACCUUUUGGAGUUGGUAACACAAAAAAAAAAUGUAAAAUGAAAAAAAAAUAUUUGGGGUGUUCAAGCUUCCUAAAGGUAAUACCCGGGUAUUAGGUUAUGGGGAUAGGGUAAGGUUUAAGGUUUUUGGUGUUAGGGUUAAAAUCACUGUCCAAAACCUUUUUAGGAACAUGUUUCAGACCUUUUGGAGUUGGUUACACCAAAAAAAAUGUAAAAUGAAAAAAAAUUUUUUUUGGGUGUUCGGGCUUCCUGAAGGUAAUACUAGGUUUCUGGGCUAGGGUAAUGUUUAAGGUUUUUGGUGUUAGGGUUAAAAUCAAUGUCCAAAACCUUUGUAGGAACUCUUUUCCAACCUUUGAGAGCAAGUUAGACCAAAAAAAAAAAUAAAUAAAAAAUAUAUAUUUGGGGUGUUCGGGCUUCCUGAAGGUAAUACCCGGGUAUUAGGUUUUGGGGCUAUUGUUAGGUUUAAGGUUUUUGGCGUUAGGGUUAAAAUAACUGUCCAAAACCUUUGUAGGAACUCUUUUCCAACCUUUGGGAAUUAGUUAGACAAAAAAAAAAAGAUAAAUGAAAAAAAAAAUAUUUGGGGUGUACGGGCUUCCUGAAGGAAAUAUUAGGUUUUGGGGCUAGGGUUAGGUUUAAGGUUUUUGGCGUUAGGGUUAAAAUGACUGUCCAAUAUUUUUUAAGGAACAUCUUUCAGACCUUUGGGAGUUAGUUAGACAAAAAAAAAAGAAAAAGAAAAAAAAUAUAUUUGGGGUGUUCGGGUUUCCUGAAGGUAAUACCCGGGUAUUAGGUUUUGGGGCUAGGGUAAGGUUUAAGGUUUUUGGCGUUUGAGUUAAAAUCAGUGUCCAAAACCUUUUUAGGAACAUGUUUAAGACCUUUUGGAGUUGGUUACACCAAAAAAAAAUGUAAAAUGAAAAAAAAAAUAUUUGGGGUGUUCGGGCUUCCUGAAGGUAAUACCCGGGUAUUAGGUUUUGGGGCUAGGGUAAGGUUUAAGGUUUUUGGUGUUAGGGUUAAAAUCACUGUCCAAAACCUUUGUAGGAACUCUUUUCCAACCUUUUGGAGUUAGUUAGACCAAAAAAAAAGAAAAAAGAAAAAAAUAUAUUUGGGGUCUUCGGGCUUCCUGAAGGAAAUACCCAGGUAUUAGGUUAUGGGGCUAGGGUAAGGUUUAAGGUUUUUGGCGUUAGGGUUAAAAUCACUGUCCAAAACCUUUUAAGGAACAUGUUUCAGACCUUUUGGAGUAGGUUACACCAAAAAAAAAAUGUAAAAUGAAAAAAAAAAUAUUUGGGGUGUUCAAGCUUCCUGAAGGUAAUACCCGGGUAUUAGGUUUUGGGGCUAGGGUUAGGUUUAAGGUUUUUGGCGUUUGGGUAAAAAUCACUGUCUAAUAUUUUUUAAGGAACAUCUUUCAGACCUCUGGGAGUUAGUUAGACCAAAAAAAAAACGAAAAAUGAAAAAAAAUAUUUGGGCUGUUCAGGCUUCCUGAAGGUAAUACUAGGUUUCUGGGCUAGGGUAAUGUUUUAGGUUUUUGGCGUUAGGGUUAAAAUCAAUGUCCAAAACCUUUGUAGGAACUCUUUUCCAACCUUUGAGAGCAAGUUAGACCAAAACAAAAAGAAAAAUAAAAAAUAUAUAUUUGGGGUGUUCGGGCUUCCUGAAGGUAAUAGGUUAUGGGGCUAGGGUAAGGUUUAAGGUUUUUCGGCGUGAGGGUAAAAAUCACUGUCCAAAACCUUUGUAGGAACUCUUUUCCAACCUUUGGGAAUAAGUUAGACAAAAAAAAUAAGAUAAUUGAAAAAAAAAUAUUUGGGGUGUUCGGGCUUCCUGAAGGAAAUACCCGGGUAUAAGGUUUUGGGGCUACGGUAAGGUUUAAGGUUUUUGGCGUUAGAGUUAAAAUCAGUGUCCAAAACCUUUUUUAGGAACAUGUUUAAGACCUUUUAGAGUUGGUUACACCAAAAAAAAAUGUAAAAUGAAAAAAAAAUAUUUGGGGUGUUCGGGCUUCCUGAAGGUAAUACCCGGGUAUUAGGUUUUGGGGCUAGGGUAAGGUUUAAGGUUUUUGGUGUUAGGGUUAAAAUCACUGUCCAAAACCUUUGUAGGAACUCUUUUCCAACCUUUUGGAGUUAGUUAGACAAAAAAAAAAAAAAUGAAAAAAAUAUAUUUGGGGUCUUCGGGCUUCCUGAAGGAAAUACCCAGGUAUUAGGUUAUGGGGCUAGGGUAAGGUUUAAAGUUUUUGGCGUUAGGGUUAAAAUCACUGUCCAAAACCUUUUUAGGAACAUGUUUCAGACUUUUUGGAGUUGGUUACACCAAAAAAAAAUGUAAAAUGAAAAGAAAAUAUUUGGGGUGUUCAAGCUUCCUGAAGGUAAUACCCGGGUAUUAGGUUUUGGGGCUAGGGUAAGGUUUAAGGUUUUUGGUGUUAGGGUUAAAAUCACUGUCCAAAACCUUUUUAGGAACAUGUUUCAGACCUUUUGGAGUAGGUUACACCAAAAAAAAAAGUAAAAUGAAAAGAAAAUAUUUGGGGUGUUCAAGCUUCCUGAAGGUAAUACCCGGGUAUUAGGUUAUGGGGCUAUAGUAAGGUUUAAGGUUUUUGGCGUUAGGGUUAAAAUCACUGACCAAAACCUUUGUAGGAACUAUUUUCCAACCUUUUGGAGUUAGUUAGACCAAAAAAAAAACGAAAAAUGAAAAAAAAUAUUUGGGGUUUUCAGGCUUACUGAAGGUAAUACCCGGGUAUUAGGUUUUGGGGCUAGGGUUAGGUUUAAGGUUUUUGGCGUUAGGGUUAAAAUCACUGUCCAAUAUUUUUUAAGCAACAUGUCUCAGACCUCUGGGAGUUAGUUAGACAAAAAAAAAAAAGAAAAAGAAAAAAAAAAUUGGGGUGUUCGGGCUUCCUGAAGGUAAUACCCGGGUAUUAGGUUUUGGGGCUAGGAUUAGGUUUAAAGGUUUUUGGCGUUAGGGUUAAAAUCACCGUCCAAAACCUUUGUAGGAACUCUUUUCCGACCUUUUGGAGUUAGUUAGACCAAAAAAAAAAAAUGAAAAAAAUAUAUUUGGGGUGUUCGGGCUUCCUGAAGGAAAUACCCGGGUAUUAGGUUUUGGGGCUAGGGUUAGGUUUAAGGUUUUUGGCGUGAGGGUUAAAAUAACUGUCCAAUAUUUUUUAAGGAACAUGUUUCAGACCUUUGGGAGUUAGUUAGACAAAAAAAAAAGAAAAAGAAAAAAAAUAUUUGGGGUGUUCGGGUUUCCUGAAGGUAAUAUUAGGUAGGUAUUAGGAUAUGGGGCUAGGGUAAGGUUUAAGGUUUUUGGCGUUAGAGUUAAAAUCAGUGUCCAAAACCUUUUUAGGAACAUGUUUAAGACCUUUUGGAGUUGGUUACACCAAAAAAAAUGUACAAUGAAAAGAAAAUAUUUGGGGUGUUCAAGCUUCCUGAAGGUAAUACACGGGUAUUAGGUUAUGGGGCUAUAGUAAGGUUUAAGGUUUUUGGCAUUAGGGUUAAAAUAACUGUCCAAUAUUUUUUAAGGAACAUGUUUCAGACCUUUGGGAGUUAGUUAGACAAAAAAAAAAGAAAAAGAAAAAAAUAUAUAUUUGGGGUGUUCGGGUUUCCUGAAGGUAAUACCCGGGUAUUAGGUUAUGGGGCUAGGGUAAGGUUAAAGGUUUUUGGUGUUAGAGUUAAAAUCAGUGUCCAAAACCUUUUUAGGAACAUGUUUAAGACCUUUUAGAGUUGGUUACACCAAAAAAAAAUGUAAAAUGAAAAAAAAUAUUUGGGGUGUUCGGGCUUACUGAAGGUAAUACCCGGGUAUUAGGUUUUGGGGCUAGGGUAAGGUUUAAGGUUUUUGGUGUUAGGGUUAAAAUCACUGUCCAAAACCUGUGUAGGAACAUGUUUCAGACCUUUUGGAGUAGGUUACACCAAAAAAAAAUGUAAAAUGAAAAGAAAAUAUUUGGGGUGUUCAAGCUUCCUGAAGGUAAUACCCGGGUAUUAGGUUAUGGGGCUAUAGUAAGGUUUAAGGUUUUUGGCGUUAGGGUUAAAAUCACUGUCCAAAACCUUUGUAGGAACUAUUUUCCAACCUUUUGGAGUUAGUUAGACCAAAAAAAAAACGAAAAAUGAAAAAAAAUAUUUUGGGUUUUCAGGCUUACUGAAGGUAAUACCCGGGUAUUAGGUUUUGGGGCUAGGGUUAGGUUUAAGGUUUUUGGCGUUAGGGUUAAAAUCACUGUCCAAUAUUUUUUAAGGAACAUCUUUCAGACCUCUGGGAGUUAGUUAGACAAAAAAAAAAAAGAAAAAGAAAAAAAAAAAUUGGGGUGUUCGGGCUUCCUGAAGGUAAUACCCGGGUAUUAGGUUUUGGGGCUAGGAUUAGGUUUAAAGGUUUUUGGCGUUAGGGUUAAAAUCACCGUCCAAAACCUUUGUAGGAACUCUUUUCCGACCUUUUGGAGUUAGUUAGACCAAAAAAAAAACGAAAAAUGAAAAAAAAUAUUUGGGGUUUUCGGGCUUACUGAAGGUAAUACCCGGGUAUUAGGUUUUGGGGCUAGGGUUAGGUUUAAGGUUUUUGGCGUUAGGGUUAAAAUCACUGUCCAAUAUUUUUUAAGGAACAUCUUUCAGACCUCUGGUAGUUAGUUAGACAAAAAAAAAAAAGAAAAAGAAAAAAAAAAUUGGGGUGUUCGGGCUUCCUGAAGGUAAUACCCGGGUAUUAGGUUUUGGGGCUAGGAUUAGGUUUAAAGGUUUUUGGCGUUAGGGUUAAAAUCACCGUCCAAAACCUUUGUAGGAACUCUUUUCCGACCUUUUGGAGUUAGUUAGACCAAAAAAAAAAAUGAAAAAAAUAUAUUUGGGGUGUUCGGGCUUCCUGAAGGAAAUACCCGGGUAUUAGGUUUUGGGGCUAGAGUUAGGUUUAAGGUUUUUGGCGUUAGGGUUAAAAUAACUGUCCAAUAUUUUUUAAGGAACAUGUUUCAGACCUUUGGGAGUUAGUUAGACAAAAGAAAAAAGAAAAAGAAAAAACUAGGACCCCGUUGGGGCACUGGCGGGCCCGAGCUGUGUCGCGUCCCCCCCCCCCAACGCGCUGCCUCCCCGUCCUAUUCGCGUCCUCUGGCCAUCGCCCUCUCUGGUAACGCCCAUCACUGCAAAGACCCUUUUCCUUCAUCGGCGUUUGCUGUUCUUCCUGCCAGUGCAUGUUGCUUUCACUUACACUUGCCACAGCCAGCCACGUGAGUGCCUAGCCUAUUGGAUAUCACUGUCACCUACACAGGACAUUCAUUACCUUUCUAUUAAUACUUUGUUUUUUAAUUUCACAUUAAUUUCCAUAUUGUAUAAACAACUGGAAAAAACUUGAGCCCCUGCCCCUGUAUAAUCAUGUGCACGUCUCUGUUCUAGCUCUAAGGUGAAUCUUCACUGCUCAUGUUCUCCUCAGAAGCAGUCACCUCACUCCCCUCAGGUUACUGUACACAUGCACCAACUGCCUGCUUCAGGUUUGGAUGGAGCUUCAUGGUUGUCUUUUGGAGAAAUGACCAGUCAAGUUGUGUUUGAAAUUUGAUUUUUUUCAGGGGCAAAAGGAGCCUCUGCAUUCUUGUCAAAUAUGUAAAUAGCAUGUUUUUGCAGGUGCUAAAAACCAGACUCUGAGUGUGUGUGUGUGCGUGUGCGUGUGUGUGUGUGUGUGUGUGUGUGUGUGUGUGUGUGCGUUCAAGUCACAUGACAUAUUUAACCGGAUGUAGCUGCAAGACGGAGACUCGUUGACUCUCCGUUUCAACUUAUCUCAAAAGUGAGGACCUCAACCUAUAUACCAGUUUUUAAAUUGUGUUGAUAGGCCAAAUAAAACCAGAGUUAUGAUAAAUUAUGUCCGCGAUACUUUUUUUCUGCUUAUUUUGAUCACGUUCGGCGCUCGAUCGCGCUGUAUGAGACAGGAAAACAUAGCAUGCAGACAUUAGCGACAGGUCUUACAGGCGGAAAAGGCUUGCCAAAGGAAAAAAAAAACACACCACAACAUCUCUCCUAUUGGUGGAAAACUUCACCACAACAACCAAUCCAAAAUUAUAUGGUGACUGAUUGACAAGGGGCGGGCGCUUACGUUCUUCCUGCAAUAUGAGAAGGGAGGGAGGGACUCUCAGCAGGGAUGCAGUCUGGGACACGUAGUUGCAAACCUAGCGACUUUGUUGUUAGAUUCAAUGACUUUUCAGACCCCCUAACGACUUUUUUUUAGAAAGAAAGUGACUUUUAUCGACUUCUUCUGGAGUUUAGAGACUCUGACAUGAAGCAGGCUUUCCUUACUGAGGAGUUAGCAACGCUGCUAAGGGUGCAGAGCCACACAUGCGCUCCGAGCUCUGCAUGGGAGACUGAAGCUGACAGAGCUGCAGCAGUUAGCAGGUUUCACCCUCAGAGACCACCAGGGGUUCAUGUUGAGGCAUUUUCAUUUUUUUUUUUUUUUUUGCCAUAGACACUGUCAGCACAAUCUGCAGUUACACUAACAAAAAUGCUGCAAAAAACAAAGAAUUAUGGAAAAAUUACACAUGGACUAACAUAGAGGAGGAUCUACACAAGUUUUUUACAUCAUGUUUUACAUCAUGCAUCAUUUACAUCAUGUUUUUUUGUAGUGGCAUAAAUAAAAAGUGACAUUUGUGAGACUAUACAGUGUUUUGUAAAUAAUUUUACAAAGAACACCUGGGCCAUUGCCUGCAUUUUGAUGUAAAUAGAGGUAAAUUACUAUGUUCUUUGUUAAAAAUUUGCAUAUGUUUUGAAGUUUACAAUUUUUAUUUGAAGUUUAAGUUUUAAAAACAGUUCAUCACACAUAUUUGUGGUUUUCACAGUAAAAACGUUACUUUUUUCCACUCGGAUUUUAUGUUUUGUGUGUGAAUUUGGGUCCAAUGUGUAAAUAUAGUAUGUCAAAAUGAUAAAAUAACUGUAAAUUGACACAGGUGAGGUUGUGCUGAAAAAAAUGAUACCAGGCAAGGCAAGGUAAAAAUUUUGUAAGAGGAAAUAUAAAGGAAAAAUCUAAAGUAGUCAAAAACGGCCAAUAGUGACUCACAGACUCCACAGACAAGUCCCUUUGGCGCCACUCAGUGGGCAAAACUACUUUGUCUACUGUAAUGUAUAUUUGGGUCAUCUUUGGCGCCCCCUAAAACGUAAACCGUGGGGUGCAGCGUCAUGAUUUUUACAACUUUGAAUGGCCAUGGAGUGUAGAUUGGCCUGAGCAAAUUUGGUGUCAGUGGGACGAAAGCCUUAGGAGGAGUUAGCGAAAUUCCAAUGUGUGCGAAUCGGCAAAAAAUGCAAAAUAGCCCUUUUACCGUACAUUAUACAGAUACGCGCUCUUUGACUUUUUCGUAGAUCUAAUUGAGAUACACAUGAUUGUCAAUUUUUGUGUCAUUUUGCCAAAGCGUACAGGCGUGACACUCAACAAUGUGUAUUUUCACCUUAGGGGACAAGAAAAAAUGGACUUUUUUCUCCUGCCAUGGGGGGGCGCUCUUUUGGGGAGUAAAAAUUCCUUCACAGAUGUGUUGAUGGCUGGACAUUGCAUCAUACUAGAAAACUUGGAGGCCAGUGAGGGCAAAAAUAAAAAGUUAUAAGACUUUUGAAUAUGUGGAUUUUAGUGUUAUCUUUGGCGCCCCCUAGAACCUAAACCGUGGGGUGCAGCGUCAUGAUUUGAAUAACUUUUAAUGGCCAUGGGGUGUAGAUUGGCCUGAGCAAAUGUGGUGUCAGUGGGACGAAAGCCUUAGGAGGAGUUAGCCACAUUCCAAUGUGUGCGAAUCGGCAUAAAAUGCAAAAUAGCCCUCUAACCGUACAUUUGACAGAUACGCACCCAUUGACUUUUUCGUAGAUCUUAUUGAGAUACACGUGAUUGUCAAAUUUUGUGUCAAUAUGACAAAGCGUACAGGUGUCACACUCAACAAUGUGAAUUUUCACCUUACGGGACAAGAAAAAAUGGACUUUUUUCUCCUGCCAUGGGGGGGCGCUCUUUUGGGGAGUAAAAAUUCCUUCACAAAUGUGUUGAUGGCUGGACAUUGCAUUAUCCUAGAAAACUUGGAGGCCAGUGAGGACAAAAAUAAAAAGUUAUAAGACUUUGAAAUAUGUGGAUUUUAGGGUUAUCUUUGGCGCCCCCUAGAACCUAAACCGUGGGGUGCAGCGUCAUGAUUUGAAUAACUUUUAAUGGCCAUGGGGUGUAGAUUGGCCUGAGCAAAUGUGGUGCCGGUGGAACGCCAGCCUUAGGAGGAGUUAGCGAAAUUCCAAUGUGUGCGGAUCAGCAAAAAAUGCGGAAUAACCCUUUAACCGUACAUUUGACAGAUACGCGCGCAUUGACUUUUUCGUAGAUCUUAUUGAGAUACACGUGAUUGUCAAAUUUUGUGUCAAUAUGACAAAGCGUACAGGCGUGACACUCAACAAUGUGUAUUUUCACCUUAGAGGACAAGAAAAAAUGGACUUUUUUCUCCGGCCAUGGGGGGGCGCUCUUUUGGGGAGUAAAAAUUCCUUCACAAAUGUGUUGAUGGCUGGACAUUGCAUCAUCCUAGAAAACUUGGAGGCCAGUGAGGGCAAAAAUAAAAAGUUAUAAGACUUUGAAAUAUGUGGAUUUUAGGGUUAUCUUUGGCGCCCCCUAGAACCUAAACCGUGGGGUGCAGCGUCAUGAUUUGAAUAACUUUUAAUGGCCAUGGGGUGUAGAUUGGCCUGAGCAAAUGUGGUGCCGUUCGAAAGAAAGCCUUCGGAGGAGUUAGCGAAAUUCCAAUGUGUGCGGAUCGGCAAAAAAUGCGGAAUAACCCUUUAACCGUACAUUUGACAGAUACGCCCGCACUGACUUUUUUGUAGAUCUUAUUGAGAUACAUAUGUGUGUCAAUUUUUGUGUCAUUUUGACAAAGCGUAAAGGCGUGACAGUCAAUAGUGUGAAUUUUCACCUUAGGGGGCGCUAUGGAGCCAUUUUGCAUUUUCUUGUUUGGGCGACUUCGGAAUAUCAAAUUUUUCACCAGGCCCGGUCAUCCUGCCAAAUUUCAUGAGUUUUCGCCAGUGGGAAGUGGGCCAUUUUCCAGUUCAAAGGGGAGGAAAAAGAAGAAAGAAAGAAACAAAGAAAAACCUCUUGGGGAAUAAUAGGGCUCUCGCAGCUGCUUAGCAGCUACGCUCGGGCCCUAAAAAUAUUUGGGGUGUUCGGGUUUCCUGAAGGUAAUAUUAGGUAGGUAUUAGGUUAUGGGGCUAGGGUAAGGUUUAAGGUUUUUGGCGUUAGAGUUAAAAUCAGUGUCCAAAACCUUUUUAGGAACAUGUUUAAGACCUUUUAGAGUUGGUUACACCAAAAAAAAAUGUAAAAUGAAAAAAAAAAUAUUUGGGGUGUUCGGGCUUCCUGAAGGUAAUACCCCUAUAUUAGGUUUUGGGGCUAGGGCAAGGUUUAAGGUUUUUGGCGUUAGAGUUAAAAUCACUGUCCAAAACCUUUGUAGGAACUCUUUUCCAACCUUUUGGAGUUAGUUAGACAAAAAAAAUGUAAAAUGAAAAAAAUAUAUUUGGGGUGUUCAAGCUUCCUGAAGGUAAUACCCGGGUAUUAGGUUUUGGGGCUAGGGUAAGGUUUAAGGUUUUUGGCGUUAGGGUUAAAAUCAAUGUCCAAAACCUUUUUAGGAACAUGUUUCAGACGUUUUGGAGUAGGUUACACCAAAAAAAAAUGUAAAAUGAAAAAAAUUUUUUGGGGUGUUCAAGAUUCCUGAAGGUAAUACUAGGUUUCUGGGCUAGGGUAAUGUUUAAGGUUUUUGGCGUAAGGGUUAAAAUCAAUGUCCAAAACCGUUGUAGGAACUCUUUUCCAACCUUUUGGAGUUAGUUAGACCAAAAAAAAAACGAAAAAUGAAAAAAAAUAUUUGGGGUGUUCGGGCUUCCUGAAGGUAAUACCCCUAUAUUAGGUUUUGGGGCUAGGGUAAGGUUUAAGGUUUUUGGCGUUAGAGUUAAAAUCACUGUCCAAAACCUUUGUAGGAACUCUUUUCCAACCUUUUGGAGUUAGUUAGACCAAAAAAAAACGAAAAAUGAAAAAAAAUAUUUGGGGUGUUCGGGCUUCCUGAAGGUAAUACCCGGGUAUUAGGUUAUGGGGCUAGGGUAAGAUUUAAGGUUUUUGGCGUAAGGGUUAAAAUCACUGUCCAAAACCUUUUUAGGAACAUGUUUCAGACCUUUUGGAGUUGGUUACACCAAAAAAAAUGUAAAAUGAAAAAGAAUUUUUUUUGGGUGUUCGGGCUUCCUGAAGGUAAUACUAGGUUUCUGGGCUAGGGUAAUGUUUAAGGUUUUUGGCGUUAGGGUUAAAAUCAAUGUCCAAAACCGUUGUAGGAACUCUUUUCCAACCUUUGAGAGCAAGUUAGACCAAAACAAAAAGAAAAAUAAAAAAUAUAUAUUUGGGGUGUUCGGGCUUCCUGAAGGUAAUACCCGGGUAUUAGGUUAUGGGGCUAGGGUAAGGUUUAAGGUUUUUCGGCGUGAGGGUAAAAAUCACUGUCCAAAACCUUUGUAGGAACUCUUUUCCAACCUUUGGGAAUAAGUUAGACAAAAAAAAUAAGAUAAAUGAAAAAAAAAUAUUUGGGGUGUUCGGGCUUCCUGAAGGUAAUACACGGGUAUUAGGUUUUGGGGCUAGGGUAAGGUUUAAGGUUUUUGGUGUUAGGGUUAAAAUCACUGUCCAAAACCUUUUUAGGAACAUGUUUUCAGACCUUUUGGAGUAGGUUACACCAAAAAAAAAUGUAAAAUGAAAAGAAAAUAUUUGGGGUGUUCAAGCUUCCUGAAGCUUCCUGAAGGUUUAAGGUUUUUCGGCGUGAGGGUAAAAAUCACUGUCCAAAACCUUUGUAGGAACUCUUUUCCAACCUUUGGGAAUAAGUUAGACAAAAAAAAUAAGAUAAAUGAAAAAAAAAUAUUUGGGGUGUUCGGGCUUCCUGAAGGUAAUACACGGGUAUUAGGUUUUGGGGCUAGGGUAAGGUUUAAGGUUUUUGGUGUUAGGGUUAAAAUCACUGUCCAAAACCUUUUUAGGAACAUGUUUUCAGACCUUUUGGAGUAGGUUACACCAAAAAAAAAUGUAAAAUGAAAAGAAAAUAUUUGGGGUGUUCAAGCUUCCUGAAGGUAAUACCCGGGUAUUAGGUUAUGGGGCUAUAGUAAGGUUUAAGGUUUUUGGCGUUAGGGUUAAAAUCACUGUCCAAAACCUUUGUAGGAACUAUUUUCCAACCUUUUGGAGUUAGUUAGACCAAAAAAAAAACGAAAAAUGAAAAAAAAUAUUUGGGGUGUUCGGGCUUCCUGAAGGUAAUACCCGGGUAUUAGGUUUUGGGGCUAGGGUAAGGUUUAAGGUUUUUGGCGUUAGGAUUAAAAUCACUGUCCAAUAUUUUUUAAGGAACAUCUUUCAGACCUCUGGUAGUUAGUUAGACAAAAAAAAAAGAAAAAGAAAAAAAAAAUUUGGGGUGUUCGGGCUUCCUGAAGGUAAUACCCGGGUAUUAGGUUUUGGGGCUAGGAUUAGGUUUAAGGUUUUUGGCGUUAGGGUUAAAAUCACCGUCCAAAACCUUUGUAGGAACUCUUUUCCGACCUUUUGGAGUUAGUUAGACCAAAAAAAAAAAAAAACUAGGA